AGUGAACGCUGGCGGUAGGCCUAACACAUGCAAGUCGAACGGCAGCACAGUAAGAGCUUGCUCUUACGGGUGGCGAGUGGCGGACGGGUGAGGAAUACAUCGGAAUCUACUUUUUCGUGGGGGAUAACGUAGGGAAACUUACGCUAAUACCGCAUACGACCUACGGGUGAAAGCAGGGGAUAUUCGGACCUUGCGCGAUUGAAUGAGCCGAUGUCGGAUUAGCUAGUUGGCGGGGUAAAGGCCCACCAAGGCGACGAUCCGUAGCUGGUCUGAGAGGAUGGUCAGCCACACUGGAACUGAGACACGGUCCAGACUCCUACGGGAGGCAGCAGUGGGGAAUAUUGGACAAUGGGCGCAAGCCUGAUCCAGCCAUACCGCGUGGGUGAAGAAGGCCUUCGGGUUGUAAAGCCCUUUUGUUGGGAAAGAAAAGCAGCAGGUUAAUACCCCGCUGUUCUGACGGUACCCAAAGAAUAAGCACCGGCUAACUUCGUG
RNAcentral lists this ribosomal RNA (492 nucleotides) under uncultured bacterium. RNAcentral's name for it is "partial 16S ribosomal RNA". It matches the Rfam family "Bacterial small subunit ribosomal RNA", at positions 29 to 507 of the family's 1533-position model. The record is from RNAcentral.